UAUUUUAGUGGCUGGGAUUCCAUCGUGCAGUCAUCGGGUGUGGACGCGUUUUCAGUCGCUCCGCAUAUAUUUUCGUUCAGGAUCGCUUGAUUUAGUUUAACGUGACCAAACGUGUUUGAUUCUCCACGCGUUAUCUUUUAACAACAUUUAAAUUAUAGUCAUAUAUAGUGUGUAAUUGUAAUCUCGUCGCUUUUUUAGCAGUCCAGUAGAAUACACUUGUUUUACCUGAAUAAUAGAACCGAAAAAAUGGUAGUGAAAAUUGAUUGUUCGGCGAAGAAAAGUGUUUUGUGUGUAAAUAGUUUUGCUUUCAUUCGUCUAAAUCACGUUCUCAAGUGUUCAUUGCGUCGCGUGUGAUAUGUGGAAUAGAUCUCUGAAGCUAUACAGAAAUGUAGCUUAGUGGUAAAGUGUGCGCGAGUGUAUUUUUAUUAGAGAUGGGCAAACCGUUCAUGAACUGAUCAAAAGAACGAGUUCACCCAAAAGAGUGAACGAAAUGACGUUCCUUCACAUCAAACAGGCUCAAAACAAAAGAAUUCUGAUACUGGAAAUACGUUGUCUAGCAAUGAAAGCACGUCUGUUGUCGAUGAAUUGAAAGGUGAUUGCAUCCAGAAAUCUUUAGACGAUAUCUCACAAAAUUCAGCCAUUCGAAAUGACGUUCCUUCACAACAAACAGGCUUAAAACAAAAGAAUUCUGAUACUGGAAAUACGUUGUCUACGUUGCAAUGAAAGCACGUCUGUUGUCGAUGAAUUGAAAGGUGAUUGCAUCCAGAAAUCUUUAGACGAUAUCUCACAAAAUUCAGCCAUUCGAAAUGACGUUCCUUCACAACAAACAGGCUUAAAACAAAAGAAUUCUGAUACUGGAAAUACGUUGUCUGGCAAUGAAAGCACGUCUGUUGUCGAUGAAUUGAAAGGUAUGUACAAUAGAACAAU
Molecule: long non-coding RNA, 927 nt
Organism: Toxorhynchites rutilus septentrionalis
Lineage: Eukaryota; Metazoa; Arthropoda; Insecta; Diptera; Culicidae
Exons: 4
Source: RefSeq, a predicted model, not a curated record